RNAcentral lists this ribosomal RNA (448 nucleotides) under uncultured Clostridiaceae bacterium. RNAcentral's name for it is "bacterial SSU rRNA". It matches the Rfam family "Bacterial small subunit ribosomal RNA", at positions 332 to 794 of the family's 1533-position model. The record is from RNAcentral. Lineage: Bacteria; Bacillati; Bacillota; Clostridia; Eubacteriales; Clostridiaceae.
GGGGGGCCUACGGGAGGCAGCAGUGGGGAAUAUUGCACAAUGGGCGAAAGCCUGAUGCAGCAACGCCGCGUGAAGGAAGAAGGGUUUCGGCUCGUAAACUUCUAUCAACAGGAACGAAAAAAAUGACGGUACCUGAAUAAGAAGCCCCGUCUAACUACGUGCCAGCAGCCGCGGUAAUACGUAGGGGGCAAGCGUUAUCCGGAAUUACUGGGUGUAAAGGGAGAGUAGGCGGCAUGGUAAGUUAGAUGUGAAAGCCCGAGGCUUAACCUCGGGAUUGCAUUUAAAACUAUCAAGCUAGAGUACAGGAGAGGUAAGUAGAAUUCCUAGUGUAGCGGAGAAAUGUGUAGAUAUUAGGAAGAACACCAGUGGAGAAGGCGACUUUCUGGACUGAAACUCACGGUGAGGCUAGAAAGCGUGGGGAACGAACAGGAUUAGAUACCCUGGUAGU